Molecule: ribosomal RNA, 472 nt
Filed under: uncultured bacterium
Lineage: Bacteria
Description: partial 16S ribosomal RNA
Rfam family: Bacterial small subunit ribosomal RNA
Source: RNAcentral
AGUGAACGCUGGCGGUAGGCCUAACACAUGCAAGUCGAACGGCAGCACAGUAAGAGCUUGCUCUUACGGGUGGCGAGUGGCGGACGGGUGAGGAAUACAUCGGAAUCUACUUUUUCGUGGGGGAUAACGUAGGGAAACUUACGCUAGUACCGCAUACGACCUACGGGUGAAAGCAGGGGAUCUUCGGACCUUGCGGGAUUGAAUGGGCCGAUGUCGGAUUAGCUUGUUGGCGGGGUAGAGGCCCACCAAGGCGACGAUGGGUAGCUGGUCUGAGAGGAUGGCCGGCCACAUUGGGACGGAGGUACGGCCCAGACUGCUAGGGGAGGCAGCAGUGGGGAAUAUUGCACAAUGGGCGGAAGCCUGAUGCAGCAGCGCCGCGUGCGGGAUGACGGCCUUCGGGUUGUAAACCGCAUUCGCCUGUGACGAAGCGUGAGUGACGGUAAUGGGUAAAGAAGCACCGGCUAACUACGUG